Molecule: long non-coding RNA, 709 nt
Organism: Prosopis cineraria
Lineage: Eukaryota; Viridiplantae; Streptophyta; Magnoliopsida; Fabales; Fabaceae
Exons: 2
Source: RefSeq, a predicted model, not a curated record
UUGCCUCAUUCAAAGCGAUGCAUCAAUGAUGUCCUCUAAAAUUCGUCGCCUCCCUUUCUGAGCCAAAGUUUGACGAAAAGAGAAACAACCUAAAGGUGACCAGCGUAGCAUUUGUAUUUUGGAAAUCAGCAAGUGGAAGAUGGAGGUCUUUGAAAAAAAGAAGAAGGAGAUAUGAAAACACUGACCCGUCCGAUAGCCUCCCACAAGGAAGCAUUGAAAGAAGCAGCGGUGGUGAUGACUUGAGGGAAACUCGUGGCGGCAGGGAACGGCGGAGCGAACCUGGUCCCGGGACCCACAUUGGAAACCCCGUGCAGCGCCUCCGACCACCACUCGUAGCCUCUGAUCCCGAGCCGUGGAAUCGCCGCCGCAUUGUCGCCCAGCAGCUUCACCUUCUCUUGCAGCGUCAGCCUCCCGAUCAGGUCCCUCACCCUCUCCGCUAUGGGCAGCGACGCCCUGCAAAAAGCCAAGUUCUUGGUGUUGCCGUCUCUGGGAUUGCAGGCCAGAGGCUCUGCUGCCUCGCUCCUCUGCCCCACGACGCUCAGCAGUAUCAUCACCGCCAAGUACACUGUAACCAGUGACCACGUCGUUGACAGAGCCAUUUGUGGGAGGGAGGAAGAUGAGAGGAUAAGUGUGCGAGUGAAGGCAUGGAACCGCGGGGAGCGUUAUAUGUAUAUAUACAAUUAAUGAUAUCCAUAUCCAUUAUCAUGCA